This 450-nucleotide ribosomal RNA is filed under the name uncultured bacterium. RNAcentral describes it as "bacterial SSU rRNA". It matches the Rfam family "Bacterial small subunit ribosomal RNA", at positions 29 to 473 of the family's 1533-position model. The record is from RNAcentral.
AACGAACGCUAGCGGCGCGCCUAACACAUGCAAGUCGAACGUGAAAACCUUCGGGUGAGUAAAGUGGCGCACGGGUGAGUAACACGUAGGUAAUCUACCCAAGAGUUCGGAAUAACCUGCCGAAAGGCGGGCUAAUACCGGAUAGUUCGAGGAGUCCGUAAGGGAUUCCUCGGGAAAGGGAGCUGGUAACAGCCUUCACUCUUGGAUGAGCCUGCGUCCUAUCAGCUUGUUGGUGAGGUAACGGCUCACCAAGGCUUCGACGGGUAGCUGGUCUGAGAGGACGAUCAGCCACACUGGCACUGCGACACGGGCCAGACUCCUACGGGAGGCAGCAGUAAGGAAUAUUGCGCAAUGGGCGAAAGCCUGACGCAGCGACGCCGCGUGGGGAUGAAGGUCUUCGGAUUGUAAACCCCUUUCGGGAGGGAAGAUGGAACGAGCAAUCGUUCGGAC